This is a long non-coding RNA of Trachymyrmex cornetzi, 169 nucleotides long. RefSeq lists it as uncharacterized. NCBI's taxonomy places the organism in Eukaryota, Metazoa, Arthropoda, Insecta, Hymenoptera, Formicidae. The transcript has 3 exons. The record is from RefSeq and is a predicted model, not a curated record.
UGGUGAACAAUGGAACGAACCAGCUUCGAGAUUAGUGGCAUCGUGAUCAAAUGGAUUCUCUUAUCUGGCGGAUACUGGCUUCCCUCGACAAGUAAGAAGAUUAUCUUUGGAGCUUUCCUCCGGAAAGCUCUCGUUAGCUUCCUCCUGCACGGACCGUGCACCAGCAGCA